RNAcentral lists this ribosomal RNA (468 nucleotides) under uncultured bacterium. RNAcentral describes it as "partial 16S ribosomal RNA". It matches the Rfam family "Bacterial small subunit ribosomal RNA", at positions 28 to 507 of the family's 1533-position model. The record is from RNAcentral.
GACGAACGCUGGCGGCGUGCUUAACACAUGCAAGUCGAACGGAAAGGCCCUGCUUUUGUGGGGUGCUCGAGUGGUGAACGGGUGAGUAACAAGUGAGUAACCUGCCCUUGACUUUGGGAUAACUUCAGGAAACUGGGGCUAAUACCGGAUAGGAGCUCCUGCUGCAUGGUGGGGGUUGGAAAGUUUCGGCGGUUGGGGAUGGACUCGCGGCUUAUCAGCUUGUUGGUGGGGUAGUGGCUUACCAAGGCUUUGCCGGGUAGCCGGCCUGAGAGGGUGACCGGCCACAUUGGGACUGAGAGACGGCGCAGACUCCUACGGGAGGCAGCAGUGGGGAAUAUUGCACAAUGGGCGGAAGCCUGAUGCAGCAACGCCGCGUGCGGGAUGACGGCCUUCGGGUUGUAAACCGCUUUCGCCUGUGACGAAGCGUGAGUGACGGUAAUGGGUAAAGAAGCACCGGCUAACUACGUG